RNAcentral lists this ribosomal RNA (403 nucleotides) under uncultured bacterium. RNAcentral's name for it is "partial 16S ribosomal RNA". It matches the Rfam family "Bacterial small subunit ribosomal RNA", at positions 30 to 526 of the family's 1533-position model. The record is from RNAcentral.
AUUGAACGCUGGCGGCAGGCCUAACACAUGCAAGUCGAGCGAGCGGCGGACGGGUGAGUAAUGUAUGGGGACUGCCCGAUAGAGGGGGAUAACUACUGGAAACGGUAGCUAAUACCGCAUACUAUCGGAUAACCCAUAUGGGAUUAGCUAGUAGGUGAGGUAAUGGCUCACCUAGGCAACGAUCCGUAGCUGGUUUGAGAGGACGACCAGCCACACUGGGACUGGGACACGGCCCAGACGCCUACGGAGGCAGCGGUGGGGAAGUUUGGACAAUGGGGGAAACCCUGAACCAGCCAUCCCGCGUGUAUGAUGAGGGCCUUCGGGUUGUAAAGUACUUUUGGCAGAGAAGCGGUAGCUGCAGAAUAAGCGCCGGCUAACUACGUGCCAGCAGCCGCGGUAAUAC